AUACAACCUGGCAGGGGAGAUCCCAUCAUCAUCAUCAAGAUAGUUUUUCCAGGGUGAGGCCUGUCUCUUGCACUUUGGACAGGCUGCGCUCUUCAAAUUUCCCCAAAUGCAGGAAAGUGCACUGCACAAUUUUGUGGUAGUGAGGAGCUGCUGUCUUGCUCCCCCCUG
This is a non-coding RNA of Alligator mississippiensis (American alligator), 168 nucleotides long. The record is from Rfam. Lineage: Eukaryota; Metazoa; Chordata; Crocodylia; Alligatoridae.